RNAcentral lists this ribosomal RNA (587 nucleotides) under uncultured Actinomycetes bacterium. RNAcentral describes it as "bacterial SSU rRNA". It matches the Rfam family "Bacterial small subunit ribosomal RNA", at positions 224 to 823 of the family's 1533-position model. The record is from RNAcentral. Lineage: Bacteria; Bacillati; Actinomycetota; Actinomycetes.
GAUGGGCCCGCGGCCUAUCAGCUUGUUGGUGGGGUGAUGGCCUACCAAGGCGACGACGGGUAGCCGGCCUGAGAGGGUGUCCGGCCACACUGGGACUGAGAUACGGCCCAGACUCCUACGGGAGGCAGCAGUGGGGAAUAUUGCACAAUGGGCGCAAGCCUGAUGCAGCGACGCCGCGUGAGGGAUGACGGCCUUCGGGUUGUAAACCUCUUUCACUAGGGACGAAGCGCGAGUGACGGUACCUAGAGAAGAAGCACCGGCCAACUACGUGCCAGCAGCCGCGGUAAUACGUAGGGUGCGAGCGUUGUCCGGAAUUACUGGGCGUAAAGAGCUCGUAGGUGGUUUGUCGCGUUGUUCGUGAAAACUCACAGCUUAACUGUGGGCGUGCGGGCGAUACGGGCAGACUGGAGUACUGCAGGGGAGACUGGAAUUCCUGGUGUAGCGGUGGAAUGCGCAGAUAUCAGGAGGAACACCGGUGGCGAAGGCGGGUCUCUGGGCAGUAACUGACGCUGAGGAGCGAAAGCGUGGGGAGCGAACAGGAUUAGAUACCCUGGUAGUCCACGCCGUAAACGGUGGGUACUAGGUGU